AACAGGAUUAGAUACCCUGGUAGUCCACGCUGUAAACGAUGUCGAUUUGGAGGUUGUGCCCUUGAGGCGUGGCUUCCGGAGCUAACGCGUUAAAUCGACCGCCUGGGGAGUACGGCCGCAAGGUUAAAACUCAAAUGAAUUGUCGGGGGCCCGCACAAGCGGUGGAGCAUGUGGUUUAAUUCGAUGCAACGCGAAGAACCUUACCUACUCUUGACAUCCAGAGAACUUUCCAGAGAUGGAUUGGUGCCUUCGGGAACUCUGAGACAGGUGCUGCAUGGCUGUCGUCAGCUCGUGUUGUGAAAUGUUGGGUUAAGUCCCGCAACGAGCGCAACCCUUAUCCUUUGUUGCCAGCGGUUCGGCCGGGAACUCAAAGGAGACUGCCAGUGAUAAACUGGAGGAAGGUGGGGAUGACGUCAAGUCAUCAUGGCCCUUACGAGUAGGGCUACACACGUGCUACAAUGGCGUAUACAAAGAGAAGCGACCUCGCGAGAGCAAGCGGACCUCAUAAAGUACGUCGUAGUCCGGAUUGGAGUCUGCAACUCGACUCCAUGAAGUCGGAAUCGCUAGUAAUCGUAGAUCAGAAUGCUACGGUGAAUACGUUCCCGGGCCUUGUACACACCGCCCGUCACACCAUGGGAGUGGGUUGCAAAAGAAGUAGGUAGCUUAACCUUCGGGAGGGCGCUUACCACUUUGUGAUUCAUGACUGGGGUGAAGUCGUAACAAGGUAACCGUAGGGGAACCUGCGGCUGGAUCACCUCCUU
This 761-nucleotide ribosomal RNA is filed under the name uncultured bacterium. RNAcentral's name for it is "bacterial SSU rRNA". It matches the Rfam family "Bacterial small subunit ribosomal RNA", at positions 771 to 1532 of the family's 1533-position model. The record is from RNAcentral.